AUAUACAUCUCUCAAACUAACCAGAUCAAAAGGGAAGUAACAUAUCAUCAAUAGCUGAACAUGAACAUCAUAACAGGAAUCCUGCUACUGCAGAUGCUGACUGGAUUGCAGAGUCAGAUAUUGUCUGAGUCUGAACCAGCUGUUGUAAAACCUGGUCAAUCUCAUAAACUGACCUGCACUGCUUCUGGGCUGAACUUUGAUGGCUCCUGGAUGGCUUGGAUCAGGCAGGCUCCUGGGAAAGGGCUGGAAUGGUUGUCAACUAUCACAAAUGGUGGUGGCACUACAUAUUAUUCAAGCUCUGCACAGGGAAGAUUCACCAUCUCCAGAGACGACAAUGUGGACCAGCUGUAUCUGCAGAUGAACAGUCUGAAGACUGAGGACACGGCUGUGUAUUACUGUGCCCGAGAGCCACAGUGAUGAAAGAGUCUGGAG
Clupea harengus (Atlantic herring) is the source of this 432-nucleotide non-coding RNA. NCBI's taxonomy places the organism in Eukaryota, Metazoa, Chordata, Actinopteri, Clupeiformes, Clupeidae. The record is from the annotation of a RefSeq genome assembly.